AAAGGAUUUAAGUUAAUUUAAACUAGUAACCUUCAAAGUUGCCAUUAAAGACUUGCCCCUUUAAGCCUU
RNAcentral lists this transfer RNA (69 nucleotides) under Elateridae sp. 3 ACP-2013. RNAcentral's name for it is "tRNA-Trp". The record is from RNAcentral. Lineage: Eukaryota; Metazoa; Arthropoda; Insecta; Coleoptera; Elateridae.